This 253-nucleotide ribosomal RNA is filed under the name uncultured bacterium. RNAcentral describes it as "partial 16S ribosomal RNA". It matches the Rfam family "Bacterial small subunit ribosomal RNA", at positions 524 to 776 of the family's 1533-position model. The record is from RNAcentral.
UACGUAGGGGGCAAGCGUUGUCCGGAAUCACUGGGCGUAAAGCGCGCGCAGGCGGUCCUCUACGUCUGGGGUGAAAGCCCGGAGCUCAACUCCGGGACUGCCUUGGAUACGGGAUGACUUGAGGAUCGGAGAGGCAAGGGGAAUUCCACGUGUAGCGGUGAAAUGCGUAGAGAUGUGGAGGAACACCGAUGGCGAAGGCAGCCUCCUGGGCCAGCACUGACGCUCAUGCACGAAAGCGUGGGGAGCAAACAGG